UCCACCUUUCACCUCCAUCAGCAUCACUCAGACACGUCAACAGAAACAACCGGACUCAACGUGACACCAGGAUCCCGGAACCUCGCGUUGGAGACAGAGUCGAGGUUAAGAAAAGCCUCGGUCGUAACAGUCUCCGAACUCAUCAGCUUCACCAUCAACUCACCUGAGUUCACUUGUCCCGUCGUGGAGCGAUAAGAAGGAGCCAGGAACCAGAGGGGAGAACAGAUAAUUCAGUCGUCGGUGUGGAGACACUUCCUUCUCCUCGUUCUGACACCGACAUGCGAAGUUCCUGUCUCUUCAUUUAUGGUGAACAGACGUGUGGAAGGAGCCAGACGUGGA
Molecule: long non-coding RNA, 339 nt
Organism: Xiphias gladius (swordfish)
Lineage: Eukaryota; Metazoa; Chordata; Actinopteri; Istiophoriformes; Xiphiidae
Exons: 3
Source: RefSeq, a predicted model, not a curated record